CGCGUGAGGGAUGACGGCCUUCGGGUUGUAAACCUCUUUCAGUAGGGAAGAAGCGAAAGUGACGGUACCUGCAGAAGAAGCGCCGGCUAACUACGUGCCAGCAGCCGCGGUAAUACGUAGGGCGCAAGCGUUAUCCGGAAUUAUUGGGCGUAAAGAGCUCGUAGGCGGUUUGUCGCGUCUGCUGUGAAAGACCGGGGCUCAACUCCGGUUCUGCAGUGGGUACGGGCAGACUAGAGUGCAGUAGGGGAGACUGGAAUUCCUGGUGUAGCGGUGAAAUGCGCAGAUAUCAGGAGGAACACCGAUGGCGAAGGCAGGUCUCUGGGCUGUAACUGACGCUGAGGAGCGAAAGCAUGGGGAGCGAACAGGAUUAGAUACCCUGGUAGUCCAUGCCGUAAACGUUGGGCACUAGGUGUGGGGGACAUUCCACGUUUUCCGCGCCGUAGCUAACGCAUUAAGUGCCCCGCCUGGGGAGUACGGCCGCAAGGCUAAAACUCAAAGGAAUUGACGGGGGCCCGCACAAGCGGCGGAGCAUGCGGAUUAAUUCGAUGCAACGCGAAGAACCUUACCAAGGCUUGACAUGAACCGGUAAUACCUGGAAACAGGUGCCCCGCUUGCGGUCGGUUUACAGGUGGUGCAUGGUUGUCGUCAGCUCGUGUCGUGAGAU
Molecule: ribosomal RNA, 664 nt
Filed under: Arthrobacter sp. RP10
Lineage: Bacteria; Bacillati; Actinomycetota; Actinomycetes; Micrococcales; Micrococcaceae
Description: bacterial SSU rRNA
Rfam family: Bacterial small subunit ribosomal RNA
Source: RNAcentral